Molecule: ribosomal RNA, 253 nt
Filed under: uncultured bacterium
Lineage: Bacteria
Description: partial 16S ribosomal RNA
Rfam family: Bacterial small subunit ribosomal RNA
Source: RNAcentral
UACAGAGGGUGCGAGCGUUAAUCGGAGUUACUGGGCGUAAAGGGCGCGUAGGCGGUUCGUUAAGUGAUAUGUGAAAUCCCUGGGCUUAACCUAGGAACUGCAUGUCAUACUGGCGAGCUAGAGUAUUGUAGAGGGUAGUGGAAUUUCCGGUGUAGCGGUGAAAUGCGUAGAGAUCGGAAGGAACACCAGUGGCGAAGGCGGCGUCCUGGACCAACACUGACACUGAGGAGCGAAAGCCAGGGGAGCAAACGGG